UUCCUAUGCAUAUACUUCUUC
This 21-nucleotide non-coding RNA is filed under the name Dasypus novemcinctus (nine-banded armadillo). Its record names the gene dno-miR-202-5p. Lineage: Eukaryota; Metazoa; Chordata; Mammalia; Cingulata; Dasypodidae. RNAcentral also lists the same sequence under 1 other name. The record is from miRBase by way of RNAcentral.